RNAcentral lists this transfer RNA (71 nucleotides) under marine sediment metagenome. Its description in RNAcentral is "tRNA-Ile". It matches the Rfam family "tRNA". From Rfam's summary of the family: Transfer RNA (tRNA) molecules are approximately 80 nucleotides in length. Their secondary structure includes four short double-helical elements and three loops (D, anti-codon, and T loops). The record is from RNAcentral.
GCUCCCAUAGCUCAAUGGUAGAGCGUGGUCCUUAUAAGGCCGUGACCUGGGUCCAAUUCCCGGUGGGAGCA